This 463-nucleotide ribosomal RNA is filed under the name uncultured bacterium. Its description in RNAcentral is "partial 16S ribosomal RNA". It matches the Rfam family "Bacterial small subunit ribosomal RNA", at positions 30 to 507 of the family's 1533-position model. The record is from RNAcentral.
CGAACGCUGGCGGCGUGCUUAACACAUGCACGUCGAACGGAAAGGCCCCUUUGGGGGUACUCGAGUGGCGAACGGGUGAGUAACACGUGAGUAACCUGCCCUUGACUUCGGGAUAACUUCAGGAAACUGGGGCUAAUACCGGAUAGGAAUCCUUGCUGCAUGGUGGGGGUUGGAAAGCUUCGGCGGUUUUGGAUGGACUCGCGGCUUAUCAGCUUGUUGGUGGGGUAGUGGCUUACCAAGGCUUUGACGGGUAGCCGGCCUGAGAGGGCGACCGGCCACAUUGGGACUGAGAUACGGCCCAGACGCCUACGGGAGGCAGCAGUGGGGAAUAUUGCACAAUGGGCGGAAGCCUGAUGCAGCAACGCCGCGUGCGGGAUGACGGCCUUCGGGUUGUAAACCGCUUUCAGCAGGGGCGAAGCUUGUGGUGACGGUACCUGCAGAAGAAGCACCGGCUAACUACGUG